UUCCUGUGUUAGGAGUCCGUCUGAGCUCAGAUCCCGAUCCAGCGAUCCUCUAUGAAGGACAGAAGUUGGUCCUGCGCUGUCUGGUCAGGAAGGGGACGCAUCUGUCCUUCACAUGGUACCACAACAAACAGGAAGUGAACUCCUCAUCAGAGCUCCACCGGCUCUCUGGAGACUCUCUCACGAUGGACAGGGUGACUGAAAUGCAUGCUGGGAUAUACUCAUGCACCGCUCGAAACCAGAUGACCGUCAACCCCAGAUUCUCCAGCAGCCAAAGCCUCCACGUCACUGUCAGAAAGCACAUCUCGGUGCCCUCGUUAUCGUUUACGGUCUUCUCUAACGGCUCGGGCCUAACAGCCAACAUCAGCUGUCGAUCUGAGCGUGGAUCUCCGCCCGUGACGUUCAGACUGAUGUUGGACGGACUGGAGCUGAAUGUGAAGCGAGUGGAUUCACUAGAGGCCUGGUUCGUUCUGCGAUCUCUGUGGGUCUGGAUCUGGGAGUCGCUCAAUGUGAAGCACAAACAGAAACCCAGCAGCUGCUGUCGGAUCCAGAGCGUUUACUUGUAGGUGAGUUUGUUCCUUGAUUCCAAUUCUUAGAUUUGUGUGUAACGUUUUCAGAAAAGAGGCAAUGUUUUGAAAACGUGUGUAACAUGCAGCUGGCCACUGUUUGUGUUAGUUCCAGUAGGUGGCGCCGUGCGUGUCACAGUGAUGUACCUUCAUGACGCUGACGGGAUGGUGUCAGCCGCUCGGCUCACAUGCGUCCCAGACAGAGGAACGUUUCCCACGUUCUCCUGGCAUCUGAACCAUUCCUCCCUUCCAGCAGAGGGCGCUCACGCGGUCACUCAUCAAGGUCAGAUCUUGAUCCUCACAGAAGUCAGUGCUGGGUUUUACGGCUGCAGGGCGAGGGACAGUUUUAACGACAGCUCACUCUGGGUGAAGAGCGAGGACAUCUUUAUUCAGAAGAGAGAUUUGUCGGCGACACCCAUGGAGGUCAUUGCAUUGGUUUUCUGUGGUUUCCUGUCGAUUGUGAUUGUGUUUUGCUCGUUCUUUAUGUUCUGGUGCUCCAAGCGCAGAAACAACACCUGCAAACAUCACAGUAACCAGGACGUGAUCCAGUCUGAGAUGACAACAAUGGACGCUCCUGUAGUUUCCUCUGAACCUCAACCUGAGGAAAUGAAAACCGUCAUCAUGGAGUUUGAUUCCUAAAGAUCCAGACCAGACCUGGAGCCAGUGUCCUGCAGAGACGUCUCAGAGAUCCUGAACUCUUUGAUUAGCUGGUUCAGAUGUGUUUAGUUAAGCUCAAAGACGAACUCUGACUGGACAUCCAUCACUACUGUGCCAUUUUAUGUUUUCUAUCAAUGAGAUUGUAAGGCUUUUAUAUAGCUACCAAAUAAAUGUUUCAUUUACCAAAUGCUUUCUACUGGAUACUGAUUCCCAACACAAACAUCUCUCUUAAGACAGCUUUUAUAUUUACUUAUAUAGUUAUGUUCAUAUUUUGUAGUUUAAAUCUAAUCCUUUAAAAAGUGGCUGUCAUAAAAACAUAAAUAAUGUUAAAUAAUGAUGCCGUUGCGUAAAAAAUAUUGAAUAUCGAGUUCAUGCUCAUAUAAGGGGUUUUACUUACCUCUUUACGCGGUUGAAACACUGAUUGAACGAUUACAUUAGACAUGAUUUAAUUCAGUGAGAUGUUCGGUUUCUUCCAACAUAACUUCUGAUGAUCAUUCAUGUUUAUUUUGUGCCAUAACUAGUAGUAAAGAGGAAGAGGUGAUGAUCGGCCACAGCGAUCUCAAGCCAAAAUGGCAUUUGACUGAAUUUAAAAGGAUUUUGAAUCUUGAGAUUUAAGAAUUGAUAUUAAGAUCACAUAAAUAAAGUAAGUUUAAUCAAUUAACUUAUAUAAGAGUCAACCAAGCCGCAGUCUAUGGUGGGAUAUUUCACCACUUUACUUUUGUGCUGUUGCUAAACUCUAAACUAAGUUUUAAUAAUAUGCCAAAAAGAGACUAAUUUGGUGUUUUUGCCAGUUUUGUUGGUGCAUAAAAUAAAAAAAGGCACGUUUUGUCCAGCAUAGAUACCUGAACAAACCUGGAUGAAUCUGAAAAAUAAAACAAAAAACUAAAUUAUAUAAUAUAAAUGUCGUUUAUCUCACUAUAAAACUGACUGAGCUUUACCAAAUGUCUUUGUAUGACAGACAUCAAAGAAAACAGACACAUGCUCAGGCUGCACUGGUGCAUUAACACAUGUGUAUUGAUGAUAUUAGUGCAGUACUUUGCUCAUUUAUGUAGAUGUUCUCUACGAUCCUCCGUGUCGUUUGCGCUGGCUUCUGUCCUAUCUGUCCUCAACACUUGUGCUGUUU
This 2343-nucleotide long non-coding RNA is filed under the name Carassius auratus (goldfish). Its description in RNAcentral is "lncRNA (ENSCARG00000004297.1)". The record is from RNAcentral. Lineage: Eukaryota; Metazoa; Chordata; Actinopteri; Cypriniformes; Cyprinidae.